This 4015-nucleotide long non-coding RNA is filed under the name Gallus gallus (chicken). RNAcentral's name for it is "lncRNA (ENSGALG00010019279.1)". Lineage: Eukaryota; Metazoa; Chordata; Aves; Galliformes; Phasianidae. The record is from RNAcentral.
CGGUUGGCUAAGGGCUGCGCACAGCUGCCUCCCGCAGCUCCCAGGCUCACCUGUCCGCUCUGCCCUCAUCAACUCCGCACUGAGCCCUGGGACGGCCCUUCGACAGACCGCCGCGCUGCAGAGGGUGCGGACCCACGUCUGAAGGGCUGACGCUAUGUCUGGAACGAUGGCGCUUUUGUAGUUGAAAAGCGUCAGGAUUAAACGUUGUUAGUAUUUGCUGGAGGAACCUCUAAAUCACGUCAGAAGGAAAUGAGUGCUUUCACUUUGUGGGUGACACUCAUGGCAGUGUGAUUACUUGGAAUUUGAGGUGAAAAUGCCCAGCCGGAGAGAUCAAGUCAAGACAGAGAAAAAUGAGCAGCACGUUAAAUGGGAUGCAGAAGGAAAAGUGAUGCAGAAUGAAAACUGGAAGGAUUUCCAAGGAAAGAAAGAAUGACAGAGCCUGUAGAUGAAGACUUACCUACAUGUUAAUGAGUAAAAAUCUGACCAGCAGGGCUUCUUACUGGAAAUGAGAGCUGGACUGUGGGACGGAUCAUGCAAUCAUAGAAUAUCCUGAGUUGGAAGGGACCCACAUGGAUCAUUGAGACCUCCAACACCAUACUUGUCAUUAGCCAUGGAAGCAAAGAAUGGAAUUGAGACACAGGUGUGACAACAAAAGAACAGAAAAAGAAAGAAAUCCCUCAAAAAGAAAGAGAAAAAGAAGGGAAAAAAAAAAAAGCAACAGCAAAGAAGGAAGACUCAGAUAUUCUGUCAGGAACCUGAAUGCUGCAGCAGGAUGCAUGAUUGCUGAUGUCCAGAAUAUCCGAUGUGAUAUAUGACUUGAAGAGGAGCCACAUUUCUUCUGUAAAAGAAAUGAAAUAAAAGGAGUGCUGAGCAAAAGGCACCAGGAACCACCGCCCACCUCCCAGAGUGCCAUUCCUCAACUUGGGGACAGAACAACCCCAAAGAGAAACAUACUGGUGUUCCGAGCAGUAGUGACAGGACGAUCCUGAGUGAACAGAAGAUGAAUCAGUGGGUUCCAGGCCAGUCUCUAAUACACAAGAUCCAGUUUUCCCUCAGAUGCUAAAAGGGACGCAGUUUGGGUUUGGAUAUCUGAGAAAGAGGGCAUAAAGGCAGUAAGACCUUCUGUGGGUAAGGUCUCACCUACAUCUUCCAGCCUUGAGCAGUUCAGUGCCUCUCAAGAGUUUUCUCCUGUUCCUCACUCUUGAGGGUCAUCUUAGCACACAGCUGACCCCUGCCUGAUGACACAUGGAGGAAGGCAGCCAGAAUGCUGGUGGUAGCCAUCCCUGGCAAUGUGUGAGGGAUGGAGAUUUUGUGCCAAGAGUGAGCAAGAAGCAAAACAUGGACUCUUUGCUCCCACCACCAAAUCUGUGAGUCCCUUUCCUCUGGGGUGCCUGUCCCAUCCAGGAUUACAUCCAUGCCUGAAUCUACUGGCUUUUUCAUUCCUCUCCUCUGUCCCUGUAAUGCCAAGUCACAGGGCUGCACUCUUCCCUUGCUGAGCAGUGCUGGUGUCAGGGAAAGAGGAGGAGGAAGCAAUGCAGGGAAGUUCAGAAGGAUCUGUGCAAUGAUUCUAUAGGGGCAGUUUGUCAUGUCAGCCCUGUGGACACCAACCUCAAUGCAUUCAAGAGCUCCCAGUGGGUGAGCAGAACCAAAGCACAUUAGUAGCAUCCAUCCAUCCUCUCCCGACAGCCAGGUCCCUGUGACCACAGAGGUAUGUUUCUGAAGUACUACAGAGGGCUUUUUGGUGUUAAAUUCUGUUUUUCUGGCAUAUUUAUUGAGACAUUGCCCCUCUAAGCUUUUUGAAACAUGGGCUGAGGUCAUUAGCACAGUUCGUAAUUUCAGCAGCGCUUGUGAACCUUCAGAUUUAGUUUGUUGUUUCAUCAGAGUCAUUUUCUUCAGCACAUCUUUUUUAAUUAUUUUUUAAUCCAUUCCCUCCCCACAUGCACAGACCUCACAGGGAUUUUCAUGCAUUUAAAUGAAAAAGCUGAACGGUUCCCUUUUCUUGUUCACAUUAUGCAGCAUUGCCCUUCUCUGUUCUUAUCCUAUUUCAGAGCUGUCAUGCAAACAAACCCAACUUAAAAAAAAAAAAUUAAAAAUCAUUACAGAGGUAUGCAUCCUGUCAACCCUCUGUCUUGGCUACUUCUCACUGUAUGUGUAAGGAGAAAUCCCUUCUCCUGAUUGCGCUUCUCUUUCAGGUAUAUUGACUUCUUUUUAAUCUCUAAUUCAUUAUUUCUCUGGCUCCCCAAAAUGCUCUGGUCUGCUCUGGUUGCCCAAUAAACCACUACUCCCUUCCCUACCAUGCAUAGGUAGUACUUACUUUUCCAGGGCUAUGGAACUCUUGUUUUCAUUGAUAUUUUCUUCUUCAACUAAUCUAGAAGGGGAGGAUUGUUCUUUUCUGUAAAGUCUGUUCUGUGAAGCAUGCUGUGCUGCUAGGACAACCCCUUGUCUUUUUCCACAUGUGUAUGCCUUAGCAAAGUAGUCAUUGCAACUCUUUCCUCCACAAUUUAAGUAUCUGAUUGUUUUCAAUAUUAUUUCUUACUCUUGUAUAUCAUCUGAGUCAGCUUUUAAGGAAGGCUGAGCCAGAAAACUUCAACAGGCGUUAAUAUCAAUUUCAUUUAUUUAUUUAUUUGCCAAGCCAGCUCUUAUUAGAAAUCUUCACCAUGCCAAGAAGUUACUCUCUGGGAAGCCUUUUCAUGUCCCUGAUCAAAAUGUAGGGACACUGGCUUCUGCAAGGUAAGCAGUAUGAGCUCCUGUGUGAUUUUCACAAUGGCAAUGGAAAAAAACCUUACCUUUAGCAGAGUCCAAACACAGAAGAUGCAUCCAGCUCUGGGAUUUCUUAGAGGGCAACCCCAGGAAGUAUCAUUUUUGCUUACUCUCAGCACAAGUACAUGGCUCUCAUUAUUGACUCUCCUGGGCAACAGCCAUAAACCAGGCUCAAACACAUAUAAAAAGGGGAAAGACAGCAGGGCUGUAAUGAUCAUGACAGCAAGUGGAAGUGUGAUGGGACAGGGCUCAAAAGAGACAACUACAAAUUGCUCCCGAGGAGGUAUAUAUCUUGUUCUUACUGCAGCUGAAGCUCUUAUUGGGAAGAUGUGGAUGUCAGCAUAGCUCUGGCAGGGAAUUUGUGCUAGCUGCAGAUGGAAAGAGUGAUAGAGCGUGGAAUAGGUAUGGAACAACAGGUCAAGGCUUUUGCCUGGUCUCUGAUAUCCCUCUGAUGGCCACGAGGCUGCCUUUUCUGAAGGAGGGUACAUUCUUGUAGCAAGAAAUGUAGUGGAAAAAUAACUAUUUUUUACUUAUUUCUCAAGCCCAUGAAGGAGCACGUAUAUGGAUAGCGGGAGACCAAGAAUUGAUAGGUAUGAAAGCAGCUCUGCCAACUCUUGUGCAGAACAUCAAACAGUGAAUUUAGACUGCACCAUCUUCCCAUCUCCCUGGAAAAACUUCCGAUGUUCUUGAUUUUAUCCACACAGGGAGGAUGAAAUGCUGUAAAUCUUAAUGAUUUGUGGGAUGGGGGAUAUUUCUCGCUUUCUAUAAAUACGUUAACCUCUUUGUCAGUGGGGAAUAAAGAUCUGCUUUGAAUUCAUGUUGCAUUUUUAAAGUUUCUUUCUAAGAUUCCUUUUUUUCCCCUUUUAUUUCCCGUCUCUUCUCAUGUAUCUCAGAAGAAACCAGCCUGCCAAACUGCUCCAGGAACCUCUUCUAAGCACAUUGGCCUUACUGCACAUAAGAACAACUCUUUCCGCUGAUGUUUUUUCACCUGCUCUGGAUAAAGCCUGAGAUACACCCUCAGUGACACUCCUGGGUUCUCCUUUUCCUUUCUGCUUUGGUGCAGAGGUGAAAGUAUCACAAGACAGUGAGAAAUGGAUGGAUUUACUUGACACAAAGAGAAAAUGCUGCUCUGCCAAAAUCAACUUUCUGAUGACAACAGCAGGACCAAAAAUUUGACUCAGGUGGUGUUGCUUUUUGUGUCAUUCAGUCACUAUGAGAAGGAGAGCAUUAAUUCCCAGAACAUUUAUACGCUAUU